AACGAACGCUGGCGGCGUGGAUAAGACAUGCAAGUCGAACGGGAUUACUUCGAGUAGCAAUACCUGAAGUAAUUUAGUGGCGAACGGGUGCGUAACACGUGGGGAAUCUGCCGAGAAGUGGGGGAUAGCUCGUCGAAAGGCGAAUUAAUACCGCAUAUGAUCAGGGAAGACAUCUUUCCAACAUCAAAGCCGGGGCAACCUGGCGCUUCUUGAUGACCCCGCGGCCUAUCAGCUAGUUGGUGAGGUAACGCCACCAAGGCGAUGACGGUAGCUGGUCUGAGAGGACGACCAGUCACACUGGAACUGAGACACGGUCCAGACACCUACGGGUGCAGCAGUCGAGUAAUUUUUCNCAAGUGGGGCAACCCUGAAGGAGCGACGCCGCGUGGA
Molecule: ribosomal RNA, 390 nt
Filed under: uncultured bacterium
Lineage: Bacteria
Description: bacterial SSU rRNA
Rfam family: Bacterial small subunit ribosomal RNA
Source: RNAcentral